UUUGGGACAUCAUCUUUUGUGGAAGCUCAUUUUCACCAAGUAUGUAUCCUGUCUAAUGUAGACAAGAGGACGUGAGAUGAGGUGUAGGGAGCAGAUUGCCUAUGUUUAAACAUAUUGGUGGGGAAAUGUUUUUCCUCCUUUGUUCCCAGAACCUGAUGCCUGAAAAGUUGCAGGUCUGCCAUGAAAAAUCAUUUUCUGCCUUCUGAUGUCCCUGAUGAAACCCUAAUGAUGUAGGCCUAGAGAAGGUCACCUUGGAAGACAAUGAGCAUAAUACCUGCCUCUUUAGUCCCUGAAUUUCAUAAAGUAAACCUGCCAUUAUCUGUCAAGUCCACAGCUCUUGUGCCUGUGGAUGUGGAACUGGCAGCCAGUUUCCUCAAUGAUCUAAAAUAUUCCUUCUCUUAUAGGAGCCUGGCCACAUCCUGAAUCGUGACCCAGAGGAUUCCUAACCUGAGGACUUGCACACUCAACCCUGGUGUCCGUGGUGGAAAAGAUCGUCUCCAAGUUCGGGAAAGCUCAGAAGUUCUACACAGCUUCAGGAGGACAUCCUGUACAGGGCACUGGGAUGGCUCAUGUUCCAGCAUCCAGCUACAGGACCUGCUCCAGUUGUCAUCAAUAUCUAAGGAUAACAGAAGGAUCCCCUGUGAAAGCCUUCCAUAGAUGACCCUAGAAAACUACCUGAGCAGAGAAAGAAAGGGCCACUGCAGAGCCUUGGGACACGAGAGUGCAUCUGCACAGCCUCUAGACUGGAGUUCCUGGAAAGGGCAGUGUCCUUGGACCUUCUCUCUCAGGCCAGUAAUCACCGGAUGAUGGUGCACUUGAUGUCAGUCACUUAGACUGUUUCCUACUGGUAUUGGAUAGAGACAACACACAAACAACAAAUAUCAAAAUACCAAAGUAGAUUUCCUGCUGAAUUUACACCAAUUGGCAAAUAGAACAUGUAUUUUUCUGAGAGGAUUUCAAAGGACUCUAAACUCUCAGAGACCCCUGUUUCUCCACAAUUUUUGCUGCUGUUUAACUGACAGAUCUUUUCUUAGAUAGACUUGAAACAUGUCAAUCUGCUACCCAAGCACUAAAUGUGACAUCCACCUGGUUCUAAUCCCAAAAGUGAAGGCAGAGGACAGGAGCGACUCCUCCAGACCCUGCACUGCUGGUUCCAGCCCUUCACACAAAGUCUCAGAGAUCCACAGAGUAGAACAGGGAAGAAACGGAGAUGGAAACAUGGAUUCACACACAAAUCCCAGUGAGUGACCCACCUACAUCGCAUCAGUUGAUUUUGGCAUUGGAAAUGAAGGCAGAGAACAUGAUCUGUCCACAAAAGUCUACAAUGAUGCAAAGGUAAACAAUAAGGAACCCAUUAGAAAACUGAACACACAUUCAACUAUUACAGCUGACCCCAAUGCAAACACUACAAAAUUCAUGUAAGAGAUGCAGAAGAGAUCUACAUAAGUUUCAGCCUCUUAAGGAAGUAGAGAAAGACAGCACAGAA
Myodes glareolus (Bank vole) is the source of this 1486-nucleotide non-coding RNA. NCBI's taxonomy places the organism in Eukaryota, Metazoa, Chordata, Mammalia, Rodentia, Cricetidae. The record is from RefSeq and is a predicted model, not a curated record.